AGAAGCCCCUAGACGCUGCGCUGAGAAGCACAAGAAAAUUUUCCAGUUUGAAAGGCCAGUAAGACUGAAAACAGAGAAUGGGAAAAGAAAUGAUUUAGCUAUUGUCAUCUCAUGAAAGCAUUUUGUUGAAGCUAAGAUGAGCCAAUUCCUUUGAAGACAAUUAAUAGAUUUAAAGCUCGCAACUGCAGUACCAGUUAUCAUCACAUAAGAAAAAGUAAUGUUUAAAUGAAGCGUUAUCUUUCAUACUGAAAUCUUCUGUGUAGAUAUGCAGCAUGCAGUAUAUAUAUCAAAGUAUGCCAGAAGAAUGCCUCUAUGUGAUACCCUGCACGUAAUCAAAAGGCGUCAAACGAGUCCUCCACUUCAGCUAAGGAUAUAUACCUGUUGCCUAUACCGUGUCCUUCACAGGGACAUGAUGCAGCAUGAAUUUAGUCUACCAUAAAGUACUUCCUUCUAUUCUGGAGUCACAUCUGGAAACCCUUUCCUGAAUAAGGUACCCACGCCAAGUCAAUCAUUUUCUGAAAAAUAAAAUCUGUAAAGAGGUUUUGUUUCC
This is a long non-coding RNA of Gallus gallus (chicken), 550 nucleotides long. RefSeq lists it as uncharacterized. NCBI's taxonomy places the organism in Eukaryota, Metazoa, Chordata, Aves, Galliformes, Phasianidae. The record is from RefSeq and is a predicted model, not a curated record. The transcript is spliced from 3 exons.